Long non-coding RNA from Oncorhynchus gorbuscha (pink salmon), 303 nucleotides. RefSeq lists it as uncharacterized. NCBI's taxonomy places the organism in Eukaryota, Metazoa, Chordata, Actinopteri, Salmoniformes, Salmonidae. The transcript has 3 exons. The record is from RefSeq and is a predicted model, not a curated record.
UGUUAUUCUCUCCCUCCCUUCAGAGCUUCUUUGAGGGACAGUCCGCUCCGUGGGACUCUGCUAAGAAAGAUGAGAACCGCAUGAAGAACCGAUAUGGGAACAUCAUUGCAUAUGAUCACUCCCGAGUCAGACUUCAGCCCCUGGAGGGAGAGCAGAACUCUGAUUACAUUAAUGCAAAUUACGUUGAUGGCUAUCACAGGCCGAACCAUUACAUCGCUACCCAAGGUAAGAUGGGAUACUAUGAACUGUGUGUGUGUGAGCAUUGAGCCGCGUGCUUCCGUGUGUGUGGAUUGGUUUGUUAAG